Molecule: long non-coding RNA, 612 nt
Filed under: Dermacentor andersoni
Lineage: Eukaryota; Metazoa; Arthropoda; Arachnida; Ixodida; Ixodidae
Description: uncharacterized LOC126517002
Source: RNAcentral
CAACAGUGCCUUGGCGUUUCUGAAUCAGGAGCUUGCGAUGUCAUAGAUCUUGGCAGCUCGUCAGCACGAUUCUGGUUAAUUUUGCUUUGGACGAGCUGAGCUUGUCAACUACAUUCUUAGCUUUUCUUAUAACACACAGACGUCUGCAGUGCCAACAUUUAAAAUUUGCGGUUAUUUCUCUUUUUUUGUGUGUGUAUGUGUUUUACUACAUAGAUAGCAGCACUAAUUCAGUGCUUUGAAGAUCGUGUUUAUUCAGUCUUAGUGUUCUACAACAUAGAUGGCAGCCACUUCAUCACCGCUGGAGGGGCACGUUUAUUAGAUCUCAAAGGCUGCUUGUUUGGAAUCACACACUUUUUGUGCUUUUUGGCAAAUUUGGAACGCUGGUGUCUGCCACUGGCAGCUCAUACGCAAGUGUGAAAAAAAGCCCCUGUACAACUCUGACAGUGAAAGUUGAGAGUGAAAGCAAUGUACUAGGGUGUACUUCGAGUGAGGAGGAUGGUGAUAAUCUCCUGAUCACUUCUUCUACCGAAAGUGAUAAUUUGGAAAGCGAAGACAACACUGACCUGGCUUGACAGUGGUGCACGUUUUCGAUGGAGUGAAGUUUGAAAAUAA